GGGGUAAGGAGUGUAACUUAGUGGUAGAGCAGCUGCUUUGAAUGCAGAAGGUCCCACAUUCAAUCCCUGGCAACUCCA
Non-coding RNA from Podarcis lilfordi (Lilford's wall lizard), 78 nucleotides. The record is from the annotation of a GenBank genome assembly. NCBI's taxonomy places the organism in Eukaryota, Metazoa, Chordata, Lepidosauria, Squamata, Lacertidae.